RNAcentral lists this long non-coding RNA (1659 nucleotides) under Medicago truncatula (barrel medic). RNAcentral describes it as "long non-coding RNA (MTRU_LNC007325)". The record is from RNAcentral. Lineage: Eukaryota; Viridiplantae; Streptophyta; Magnoliopsida; Fabales; Fabaceae.
GGACUCCUACCAUGAAGCUCAUAGAGCUUGCCUUUCUCUUAAACCACUUCGUUCUAAAUGAAUAAUUGUGAAGGAGAAGAGUUAUAUUUAUAGGCUGAUUUCCAAGUGGGUUUAGACUGAAAAACUAGGAUUUUUCCAACAACCCGCAGGGAAAAACAACAAAAAAAACUGUUAUUUUCCUUGCCAUGAACGCACACCUCUCUUGAGUGUUUUCUUCCAUGAAACUUGUCUUGGUACUUGAAAUAAAUAGAAUUCUCCUCUAUGUAAUGUCUUUACAUGCCUCUUGAAACUUCAUUCAUUGUCUUCCCAAAUCCUUUUAAGAUGCUUUGCUUUGUCGAUUUUCAUGAUUUUGACUUGAAUUACAUCAGAAACACCUAAGAACUGCAUGGUUUCGAUAAAAAUUAGAAUUACAUCACUCUAAAUGAAAACAUUACAAAAUAUCUCGUAAAAUCAUAUACAAUUGUUCCAAAACUCCUCUAUAUUAGAUCAAAACCUAAAUAAAAUGAAUGAAAAACAUGCUAAAAAUAAUGUAGGAUGACUUGUCAUCAGCAACCAAGGAUAUUUAGAAUAAGAGUGAAUAUGACGACUCUUGUCAUUUCCUCCAAGCAAUAAUUUUCACCAGUCUCCCUUACUCUUCCUCUUGGCAGUCUCCUCGAUAAUUUCUUUUCACACUCCUCCUCUUGAAAGGGACAUCUCCCUUAGAAAACAACGAGGUAGCCAUUUUCAAAAUAUCUCCAUUAGGGAUUAUUUAAGCUUGAAUGACUACCUUGGUAUAUAUAACAUCUCUUUCUAUAUAGGCAGAACUGCCAGAGCGACAAAGAUGGCAGGUGCAGUAUCAACAGUACAAGUAGGGGAGGGAACACCUUUCCCGUAGAAGUUCUUCGUAUCGUCCAUCUUUUCCAAAAUACACAUAUCAUAUGUAAAAGGAAAGAUAGAUAGUGUUAGAAAAAAGAAAGAAAAAAAAAACCCGUAAAAAGCCUCCAUUCAAGAUAGAACAUGAAAAUGUAAACAUGAAAAUGUACACAUGAAUUUUCAACAACCUUUUUACAAUCGUUUUUAGAGGAUUUAAACUUUGUAAGUCAAGAUUUAUAAUACUAAACUCUUACUACUCGACUAAAAUAUCAAAUGUGAAUUUUCAACAAUGAAUUAACUAAUAAUAUUUUUUCAAAAAUUAUUUUUAUUUUGUAAGAUAUGAAAAGAUGAAGAUACAACACAGCCAUUUUCUUUUUUACAAUCAACACAACCAUUUUUAACAUUGAAAAUAGUGCACCAUUUUCAUAUGUACAUGAGUAGAUCAUCAUAACAUAUUAUGGCAAUAGACACAAAAGUGAAUUACAACAAAUCAAUCUCUACAACAUUAACAGCUUCAACAAUUAGCACUAUUUUUCACAAUCCUAUUUCCUUCAAACAAGUUAGAAAAAGAACACUCACACCUACACAAAAGUAGGGGCACUCAUCACACAAGAUCCAAGGUUAUUUGGUCCCAAAAUCCAACAUUUUUUCUUCAACAACCUUUUUCCCCCAUGAUCUUUGAUCCGAAAAAUCUUAAAUAAUAAACAAAAAGAAAUGCACAAAGACCUAUAUUUGGUCUUACAAACGUGCUUAAUUUGAAAAAGCAAUAUUGAGUAUACUUUAGCUAAAAUUGCUUCAACUUAUGUG